CAAGCUUUCAUACUAGUUGCACAUGCAAAUUUGCAAAAGAUAUUAGUCAAUUUCAUGACAGAACCAACUAUAUGCUUCAAGCAGAAAACUAUUAAACGUUUUGGAUUUACUGCAAAUAAAUAUUAACUUUAAAAACUAUUUACAGGCAGAAAUUACUGAAAAGCAAUAAUAAGUUCUUCAUAAAUAUCGGAUGUAGACAGCAUAUUCUAACAGCAUAUAUAAAAUCGGCAUACAUAUAUCGCAGCCAUUGGUUCCAGAUAAACCAUUAAAAAUAGCAGUUCACGAACACGCAUAUAGGAAAACAUUUAAUACUAAGUUCUUUGUUUUACUAUCAUAACUUACAAAUCUGCUUGGUAAUGAAGAGGAUAUUAUCGUUUGUCACUGAGAGCUUGUUGAAUGUAAAACAGAAGGACAGUACGAGAGAAAUACUGAUGUCCAAAAGCUCAGUGCCAAAAGCUUGCAGCACAAAUCUUAAAGAGUGGGAAGUGACUGCAGUCGAACCGAUUUGAAUGGUGAAAAAUCUGCCAUAAAAGACGUUUGAUGACAACCGAAUUGAAGACAUGAAGCGACACCUGCAGCGUUUGUGUAAAGAAGCCGCUUAUGCCCCGCCGUUACCAGAAGAAGACUUAAUUGGAAUGCAGCUGCCGUGUUACAGAUACCAGCAGUAUAAAUAUCAAAAGCAAGGAAGAAAAGCGAUGCAACGGGCGUGGUCGGAUGGCUCAAACCAUCACCAAUGAUAACAAUUGGAAGAAAAUGAAGUCAGUAAGUAAUCCGUGCAGAAAAAUACUCUCGCAAAGUUGUUGGUCAUAAUCGAAAACUGACGGCUUACAAAUAAAACAAUAGUACGUGAAAAUAAAUCCCUGGUAAUAAAUGAACAAAAAUGACGUGCUUCUUAUACUUUCAGUUUUAACCAUUGAACUCUACAUAUACUGGAACGCUAACCCAUUAAAGCCAAACUCUAAAGACCCGUUUACACUUGCAAUUUCUGCCGCAAUUUUAGGUGCGAUUUCCUUCUUCUGAUGGAUGUGAACGAGUGGAUGAGUUAUGAAUGUUCAGAUGAGGGUACAUCAAUGAAAC
Paramuricea clavata is the source of this 1077-nucleotide non-coding RNA. The record is from the annotation of a GenBank genome assembly. Lineage: Eukaryota; Metazoa; Cnidaria; Anthozoa; Malacalcyonacea; Plexauridae.